UAAUAUAAAUAUUAUUGUUAUUAUUAAUUAAAAGUAUUUUUUAUGUUAUUAUUUUAGUAUUGUUAUGAAUUUAUUUAUAUUAUUAUAGUUUAUUAUUACAGUGAUGGUUGAAUGAAAGAGUUGAAAAUUUUAUUUUUAAGGAGAAAAGUUUUUGUACCUUUUGUAUCAGGGUUUAUUAAAAAUUAUUAAUUUAUUUUUUUCGUUCUCGAAUUGGAAAGAGUUAUUUGUUUAUGAUUUAUAUUGUUAUAUAAAUAUAUUGAAUUGAUAAGUGGUAAUGAAAUGUUAUUCGUUUUCUUGGAUAUCUAGUUUCUCAAGAUGGAAAUUUAAUUUUGGUUUUUUAUUAUAAUAUUUAUUAGUAUUUAAAUUUAUUUAUGUAUUAUAGGAAAUACUUAUGAUUCUGGGGAUAAGCUCUAAAAUAAAAAUCGUCGACCUGUAUUUUGGAAUAUGAGCUUUUAAUUAGCUAUUAUUUGUGAGUUUGUUAUAGGUCAAUUUAUUUAAUUAUUUAUAUGAUUAUAUUGAGUGUAUAUUGGGAUGUUAAAAUUAAUUUUUAUUUUAUGUAAUAAUGAUGUAAUUAGUAAAUGAUUUGAUUGUUUGAAUUAUGUUGAUGCUUAUUUAUUUUAAGGAAUUAGGCAAAAUAAUUGUUCGCCUGUUUAUCAAAAACAUGUCUUCUUGAAGUGAUAUGAAGUCGUGCCUGCCCAAUGAGUAUUUGAAUGGCCGCGGUAUACUGACCGUGCAAAGGUAGCAUAAUCAUUAGUCUCUUAAUUGGAGGCUGGAAUGAAUGGUUUGACGAAACAAUUACUGUCUCUUGAUAAUGGUUUGAAUUUUACUUUUGAGUUAAAAGGCUCAAAUGUUGAUAGGGGACGAGAAGACCCUAUAGAUCUUAAUAAUUUAUAUUAAUUUUUUUGUUUGGAGGGUAUUUAUUGAAUUUUAGUAUAUUGUAUUUGGUUGGGGUGACAAGGGAAUAUAACAACUUCUUAUUAUUUAACUAUGAUGAUUGGUUAAUUGAUCCUAUAUUAUGGAAUAAAGAUAAAGAUACCUUAGGGAUAACAGCGUAAUGUUAUUGGAGAGUUCUUAUUGAUAAUAAAGAUUGCGACCUCGAUGUUGGAUUAAGAAAAUUAUUAGGUGCAGAAGCUUAAUUUAUUGGUCUGUUCGACCAUUAAAUUCUUACAUGAUCUGAGUUCAAACCGGUGUGAGCCAGGUUGGUUUCUAUCUCUAUUUAUUUUUAUAUAUUUUAGUACGAAAGGAUUGAAUAUAUUAAAUGUUUUAUUGUUUAGAAUGAUAUUAAU
RNAcentral lists this ribosomal RNA (1286 nucleotides) under Teleogryllus emma (emma field cricket). RNAcentral describes it as "16S ribosomal RNA". The stretch from base 855 to 1215 matches the Rfam family "Archaeal large subunit ribosomal RNA", at positions 2151 to 2715 of the family's 2987-position model. The record is from RNAcentral. Lineage: Eukaryota; Metazoa; Arthropoda; Insecta; Orthoptera; Gryllidae.